CCGCUCCUCAGCGGCCCCGCUCAGCUGUCCGCGUGCGCCUCACGGGUCCGCGGUGCCCUGAGCUCGCGUCCCGCUGCCGGCCCGGACACGGGGCGGCCCGCGGGAGCUGCGACCGGCUGUUGUGGCGACCACGUGCGGGAGAUCGCGCUCCCCACGGCGGGAGCGCCCGGCGCGGCGCUGGUAACAGCCACGUGCCGCUCCUCGUGCCGCAGCCAGAAAGAAUUGGGGCUUGGGGCCGAAGGGCCCCCAGGAGCUGUCACUUCUGCAAGGGUUGCUCCGGGCACUCAGACGGGUAUGCGGGGCCUGCAGCAGUCCCUUGCAAACAGCCGAGGCGCCACGGGCGACAGGAAAAAUGCCUUGAAGUUGUACAAUUGAAUAGUAUAAGAACAGAAUUUGCAAGGAAAGUGUGCGCUCCAGGAGAAGCUGAGAGAGAGAGAGCAGUGCUGCAUCGCACCCAGCUUAACCAGCAAUGGAUCCUGCUUGGUCAAAGUUGCAAGAUGGGACCAGCAUCCUUCACCAGCAUUGUCCCCUGCAUCCUUGAGUACCCAGCAUACUGCAUCGCUCUGCACCAGCAUCGCCCCCACCAAGAAGAUUGAGACAGACCGUACCAUCAUGCCUGAUGGCACUAUGGUGACCACUGUCACCACCAUUCAGUCCAGGCCCAAAGUGGACUGUGCAAGCUGGAUUCACCUUCAAGAUCUCUGUCCAAAGUCGAGGUGAUGGAGAAGAAGACAGCAGUGCUUUCAGAGAGCAGCUGUCCCAGCAACACCUCACCCAGCAGCAUGCGCGUGUCCUUUGAUACCCGAGACCUUCCUUAGUAGCAAGAAGGUCCAUCUCUGGUGGCAAAAUAUAACUCAUUCUCUUGGC
Molecule: long non-coding RNA, 867 nt
Organism: Alligator mississippiensis (American alligator)
Lineage: Eukaryota; Metazoa; Chordata; Crocodylia; Alligatoridae
Exons: 5
Source: RefSeq, a predicted model, not a curated record